This 491-nucleotide ribosomal RNA is filed under the name uncultured bacterium. RNAcentral describes it as "partial 16S ribosomal RNA". It matches the Rfam family "Bacterial small subunit ribosomal RNA", at positions 29 to 507 of the family's 1533-position model. The record is from RNAcentral.
AGUGAACGCUGGCGAUAGGCCUAACACAUGCAAGUCGAACGGCAGCACAGUAAGAGCUUGCUCUUACGGGUGGCGAGUGGCGGACGGGUGAGGAAUACAUCGGAAUCUACUUUUUCGUGGGGGAUAACGUAGGGAAACUUACGCUAAUACCGCAUACGACCUACGGGUGAAAGCAGGGGAUCUUCGGACCUUGCGCGAUUGAAUGAGCCGAUGUCGGAUUAGCUAGUUGGCGGGGUAAAGGCCCACCAAGGCGACGAUCCGUAGCUGGUCUGAGAGGAUGAUCGGCCACACUGGAACUGAGACACGGUCCAGACUCCUACGGGAGGCAGCGGUGGGGAAUAUUGGACAAGGGGCGCAAGCCUGAUCCAGCCAUACCGCGUGGGUGAAGAAGGCCUUCGGGUUGUAAAGCCCUUUGUUGGGAAAGAAAAGCAGCAGGUUAAUACCCCGCUGUUCUGACGGUACCCAAAGAAUAAGCACCGGCUAACUUCGUG